ACUCCUACGGGAGGCAGCAGUGGGGAAUUUUGCCCAAUGGGGGAAACCCUGAUGCAGCAAUGCUGCGUGGGGGAUGAAGUCCCUUGGGUUGUAAACUUCCUCGCAUCGGGACGAUAAUGACAGUACC
RNAcentral lists this ribosomal RNA (127 nucleotides) under uncultured Pseudomonadota bacterium. RNAcentral describes it as "uncultured proteobacterium partial 16S small subunit ribosomal RNA". It matches the Rfam family "Bacterial small subunit ribosomal RNA", at positions 335 to 479 of the family's 1533-position model. Lineage: Bacteria; Pseudomonadati; Pseudomonadota. The record is from RNAcentral.